UCCUACGGGAGGCAGCAGUAGGGAAUCUUCCGCAAUGGACGAAAGUCUGACGGAGCAACGCCGCGUGAGUGAUGAAGGCUUUCGGGUCGUAAAACUCUGUUGUUAGGGAAGAACAAGUGCUAGUUGAAUAAGCUGGCACCUUGACGGUACCUAACCAGAAAGCCACGGCUAACUACGUGCCAGCAGCCGCGGUAAUACGUAGGUGGCAAGCGUUAUCCGGAAUUAUUGGGCGUAAAGCGCGCGCAGGUGGUUUUUUAAGUUUGAUGUGAAAGCCCACGGCUCGACCGUGGAGGGUCAUUGGAGACUGGGAGACUUGAGUGCAGAAGAGGAAAGUGGAAUUCCAUGUGUAGCGGUGAAAUGCGUAGAGAUAUGGAGGAACACCAGUGGCGAAGGCGACUUUCUGGUCUGUAACUGACACUGAGGCGCGAAAGCGUGGGGAGCAAACAGGAUUAGAUACCCUGGUAGUCCACGCCGUAAACGAUGAGUGCUAAGUGUUAGAGGGUUUCCGCCCUUUAGUGCUGAAGUUAACGCAUUAAGCACUCCGCCUGGGGAGUACGGCCGCAAGGCUGAAACUCAAAGGAAUUGACGGA
This 590-nucleotide ribosomal RNA is filed under the name uncultured bacterium. RNAcentral's name for it is "bacterial SSU rRNA". It matches the Rfam family "Bacterial small subunit ribosomal RNA", at positions 337 to 917 of the family's 1533-position model. The record is from RNAcentral.